RNAcentral lists this ribosomal RNA (469 nucleotides) under uncultured Alphaproteobacteria bacterium. RNAcentral describes it as "bacterial SSU rRNA". It matches the Rfam family "Bacterial small subunit ribosomal RNA", at positions 9 to 524 of the family's 1533-position model. The record is from RNAcentral. Lineage: Bacteria; Pseudomonadati; Pseudomonadota; Alphaproteobacteria.
GAGUUUGAUCUUGGCUCAGAACGAACGCUGGCGGCAGGCCUAACACAUGCAAGUCGAGCGCCCCGCAAGGGGAGCGGCGCACGGGUGAGUAACGCGUGGGAACAUGCCCAGAGGUCGGGAAUAACGGCGGGAAACUGCCGCUAAUACCCGGUAAGCCUUGAGAGGGAAAGGAGCAAUCCGCCUUUGGAGUGGCCCGCGUUGGAUUAGCUAGUUGGUGGGGUAAAAGCCUACCAAGGCGACGAUCCAUAGCUGGUCUGAGAGGAUGAUCAGCCACACUGGGACUGAGACACGGCCCAGACUCCUACGGGAGGCAGCAGUGGGGAAUAUUGGACAAUGGGGGAAACCCUGAUCCAGCCAUGCCGCGUGAGUGAAGAAGGCCCUAGGGUUGUAAAGCUCUUUCGACGGGGACGAUGAUGACGGUACCCGUAGGAGAAGCCCCGGCUAACUUCGUGCCAGCAGCCGCCGUAAC